CCCGCUGAACUUAAGCAUAUCAAUAAGCGGAGGAAAAGAAACUAACAAGGAUUCCCCUAGUAACUGCGAGUGAAGCGGGAAAAGCUCAAAUUUGAAAUCUGGCGGUUCUUGACCGUCCGAGUUGUAAUCUAGAGAAGUGUUACCUGUGCUGGACCGUGUACAAGUCUCCUGGAAUGGAGCAUCAUAGAGGGUGAGAAUCCCGUCUUUGACACGGACUGCCUGUACAUUAUGGUGUGCUCUCAAAGAGUCGAGUUGUUUGGGAAUGCAGCUCAAAAUGGGUGGUAAAUGCCAUCUAAAGCUAAAUAUUGACGAGAGACCGAUAGCGAACAAGUACCGUGAGGGAAAGAUGAAAAGAACUUUGGAAAGAGAGUUAAACAGUACGUGAAAUUGCUGAAAGGGAAACGCUUGAAGUCAGUCGCGUUGGCUAGAAAUCAACCUUGCUUUUGCUUUGUGUACUUUCUGGUUGACGGGUCAGCAUCAAUUUUGACCACUGGAUAAAGUCUUUGGGAAUGUGGCAUCUUCGGAUGUUUUAUAGCCCAUUGUCGCAUCCGGUGGUUGGGAUUGAGGAACUCAGCACGCCGCAAGGCCGGGAUUUGACCACGUUCGUGCUUAGGAUGCUGGCAUAAUGGCUUUAAUCGACCCGUCUUGAAACACGG
Molecule: ribosomal RNA, 656 nt
Filed under: uncultured fungus
Lineage: Eukaryota; Fungi
Description: eukaryotic LSU rRNA
Rfam family: Eukaryotic large subunit ribosomal RNA
Source: RNAcentral